CGGAGGAUGCAAGUGUUAUCCGGAAUCACUGGGCGUAAAGCGUCUGUAGGUGGUUUAAUAAGUCAACUGUUAAAUCUUGAGGCUCAACUUCAAAAUCGCAGUCGAAACUAUUAGACUAGAGUAUAGUAGGGGUAAAGGGAAUUUCCAGUGGAGCGGUGAAAUGCGUAGAGAUUGGAAAGAACACCAACGGCGAAAGCACUCUGCUGGGCCGACACUGACACUGAGAGACGAAAGCUAGGGGAGCGAAUGGG
This 251-nucleotide ribosomal RNA is filed under the name uncultured bacterium. RNAcentral's name for it is "partial 16S ribosomal RNA". It matches the Rfam family "Bacterial small subunit ribosomal RNA", at positions 526 to 776 of the family's 1533-position model. The record is from RNAcentral.